ACAGCAGUUUCUGUCACUAUGAAAGCUGGAGUGAAACUUCCUGGUGAGUACCAGCUUGAUUUUCCAUCGCCCUACAGCUCAAGCUUGUGAUGUCUUUAACGCAGGAUCUUAUCAUCAAGUUCUGGAACACAACUAAGACCAAUAGUAAUGACAGCAGGAGUUUUAGGAGUUUACUGUGGUGGUUUGAAUAGGUUUGGACCCCAUAGACUCAUGUGUUUGAAUGCUUGGCCCAUAGGGAGGGGCACAUUAGGAGGUGUAGCUUUGUUGGAGUAGGAGUGGCUAUGUUGGAGGAAAGAUGUCAUUGUUGAGGUGGAGAGUGGGGGUUUUGAGGUGUCCUAUACUUAAUCUAUGCCUGGUGUGGCACAAUCUUUCCCCUGCUGCCUGCAGAACUCUCAGCUCCAUCUCUAGCACUGUGCAGGCCUGUAUGCUGCCCUGCUCCUCACCAUGAGGGAAAUGGACUAAAUUUCUGAAACUUAAGCCAAUCCUAAUAAAAUGUUAUCCAUUAAAAGAGUCACUGUGGUCAUAGUGUCUCUUCGCAGCAAUGAAACCUUAACUAAGGCAGUAACCAAUUGCUAUCUGAUUGAAUUUAAGACCUGUUUCACAAGACAGAAUUGUUAGUGUUCUGGCAGAAUGUCUGUGAGUGUCAUCUGGGUUAAAAUCCUAUGGUUGGGUGGAUCAUAGGCCCUAGGGGAAAACCUACUGUCAUUCUGUUCAAUUAACAACGUAUUAAACUGUCCCCCAUGCACUUCGACGUGUCAGUAUCUGCGGCUUUCAAUUCUCAGCAGUGAAGCUUCAUUUAUGCAGUAGAUGGGAUUACUACAGAGACUCACAUCUGGUCAGAGUGCAGAGAAUAAGAAGCUAUAGAGUGUUCAACUUAAAUGGGACGUCUGUACCACACUCCUUAGCCACAGGCACAGGAAUGGACUCAGAAGAAGGGUCAGAAAGAUGGCAAGAGCUAAGGGUGUAAGACUGCUUUGAUGCAAGUGUUUUAUGGCCAUUAUAGGACCACUGCAAAUGUGAACUCACAGUGGGCCAUGCCAGAUGAACAAGACCUGCACAAGACCAAGCCAGUCAAAGUCCCAGCAUAAAUGGAGCUCACAGAAAUCCUACCUCUGGCAACUAAUGGCUGCUAAGGGGAAAAGAGGCAGUAUUCUUGGGGUUUCGUUCUCACUAGGCUGCCCAAGUUACACUGGGCGGCCCAACACCCAUACAUGUACUGGAAGCCUCGGUACUCAGUGGGUUUAAAUACAGCUCAUGAAUUUGGGAGGGAAUAGAUAUAUGAGAAAGGCUUGAUCAAAGCACAUUAUAACACAUUCAUGUGUGAGAUUCUCUAACAAUAAUCAUUUUUAUUGCUAGGAAAAUCUCUACCGCUGAGAGUGGCGGUGGUAUAAACAGUACAAGUCUGAUGACGCACCAGGUCUCCUGAUAACGACAGACUGGGGACUGAGGCAAACCCAGCUUCGAUGGCACAGGGGUAAGAGAAGGUAGCAUCAGGUGAAGAGUGAGCGGGAAUGAGCAGAAAGCAGCAGCAGAUACUUCUAACUAUAUUUAAACAUUGAUAGGAAAAGGGAGAGGAUAACCCAAACCCACUUGUUUGGUGGGAGAAACAAUCCCUGGGGUUCUAUGAAACUGCCCAUAAACAAGCUGAAGCUGUGGCCAACCCAAUGCUGCUGUAAGAAUUUUCACAACUUGAUUGGAGUCAUCUUUUCACUUUUGUAAAAAUUCCCUAGGAUCCAGACACCAUACUAUAGUCCUGUGGUCUUAGCUACCGGGGAGGCUGGCAUAGAGGGUUACAAGUUCAGGGACAGCCUUAGUGGAGACGUAAAGAACCCUGUCUCACAAUACAGAGUGAGAAGGACCUGGGGAUAGAGCCCAGAGGCAGAGCAUUUCCCCAGCACAGGUAAGGCCCAGGGUUGCAGGCAUUUAAAAAAAAAAAAAGCCCAAAAAACAAAACCAAAAACUUAAACCAGAAAGGAAGGAAGGAAGGAAGGAAGGAAGAAAGGACAGAGAAGGAAAUAGAGAAGGGUAAGGGAGAGAAAGAAAAAAAUUCCUAGGAGUAUAUGAAAUAACAUAUUUCAUUUAUGUAAAAAGUGUGUUCAGUGUGAUCUAUAAUAAAAUAUAUAUCCCAUUCAAUUUCUGGUUUGAAAUAAAUAGAAUUUCUUAGACUUUUUUAUAAUAUAGAUUAUUACCCAAAUAUUUUGAAUGCAUACAUAAAAUUGCAUAGCCUACCUUUAAACUCAUUUCCUC
RNAcentral lists this long non-coding RNA (2247 nucleotides) under Mus musculus (house mouse). RNAcentral describes it as "long non-coding RNA chr10:53691622-53693869". The record is from RNAcentral. Lineage: Eukaryota; Metazoa; Chordata; Mammalia; Rodentia; Muridae.